UGGGGGAUAUUGCACAAUGGGCGAAAGCCUGAUGCAGCGACGCCGCGUGGUGGAUGAAGGCCUUCGGGUUGUAAACUUCUUUUGCUCUGAACAAGGCAUGCCUUUGGGGUGUGUUGAGUGUAGGGGUUGAUUAGCGCCGGCUAACUACGUGCCAGCAGCCGCGGUACUACGUAGGGCGCGAGCGUUGUCCGGAAUUAUUGGGCGUAAAGGGCUUGUAGGUGGCUGGUUGCGUCUGUCGUGAAAGCUCAUGGCUUAACUGUGGGUUUGCGGUGGGUACGGGCUGGCGUGAGUGCAGUAGGGGAGGCUGGGAUGCCUGGUGUAGCGGUGAAAUGCGCAGAUAUCAGGAGGGAUACCGGUGGCGAAGGCGGGUCUCUGGGCUGUUAAUGACGCUGAGGAGCGAAAGCGUGGGGAGCGAACAGG
RNAcentral lists this ribosomal RNA (420 nucleotides) under Fusobacteriota bacterium. Its description in RNAcentral is "Fusobacteria bacterium partial 16S ribosomal RNA". It matches the Rfam family "Bacterial small subunit ribosomal RNA", at positions 355 to 776 of the family's 1533-position model. The record is from RNAcentral. Lineage: Bacteria; Fusobacteriati; Fusobacteriota.